GGGGCUAUAGUUAAUAAUAACAUUUGAGUUGCAUUCAAAAAGUACUACCCAAGUAGUUAGUCUCA
This 65-nucleotide transfer RNA is filed under the name Coarctotermes pauliani. RNAcentral's name for it is "tRNA-Ala". RNAcentral also lists the same sequence under 1 other name. The record is from RNAcentral. Lineage: Eukaryota; Metazoa; Arthropoda; Insecta; Blattodea; Termitidae.